GGCUAUUAAUGCCUAUGGGCAGGGCAGGCUGCUCCCUGAAGGCUGUGCAGCAGAAGCAACAGGGCAGGCUCCAGCCCCUGGUCCUUCUGCCCCCAGAGAAAGGUGCUUUCAGCUGCAGAGACCCAGCACCUGUGGAUGCACGGCAGUGAUUAUGUUCCAUGAUGCUGGAGCAAUACUGGGGCAACCCAGCGUACAGUGCUGGCUGGAAGGAGCAAUGCGGAGCACCAAGGAGAGGUUUUCCAGCCCUCGGACCUGCCCCCAUCACCCCAGUUCUUGCAGUGAAGCACGUGCAGAUGGGCAGGCUGUCUGGGGCUGGCAGGUGUGCUGACAUGUCCCAAAGGGACACCGUGCCAAGCUGGGUGCCGGCCACAUCGGGAAGCAGCAGGAGGUUAACAGGAGGCACAAUUGCCCCGCUUGUUUCUCCCUCCCAGUGGAGCUGCAGUGACUGAAUCGUCGCACAUCCAGCUCCGUUGUGUGAAUGUCUCUGCUCUUGUCCUUCCUAACCCUGACUUGUUGAUCGCAGAUCGGCAGUAAGUACUGCUGGAAGUGCUUCGUGCUGAAACCGUUGCUGUUUCCACUUAUUUUACACUUGAUUAUAGAUGAUGUAAAAAAAAAAAAAAAAAAAUCAACAACAGAACUAUACAUCUGUGACUUGUCAGAACUCUUUGUCACAUCUCUGAGUGCCAAUAAACAUGAAGUCUGCAUCCAUCAGUCACUUCUUGUAGCUUGUACUCCCUUGAGAGCCUGAUUCAGAGUCUGCUGAAGUCAACGU
Anas platyrhynchos (mallard) is the source of this 772-nucleotide non-coding RNA. The record is from RefSeq and is a predicted model, not a curated record. NCBI's taxonomy places the organism in Eukaryota, Metazoa, Chordata, Aves, Anseriformes, Anatidae.